AGAGUUUGAUUAUGGCUCAGAACGAACGCUGGCGGCGUGCUUAACACAUGCAAGUCGCGUGCGCAGUUUCCGUAGCAAUACGGGGAUGGGCGCACGGCGCACGGGUGCGUAACACGUGGGCAAUCUGCCCUCCGAUGGGGAAUACCCCCGCGAAAGCGGGACUAAUUCCGCAUAACAUUCCUUGCAUUAACUUUCGAGGAUUCAAAGCAGCAAUGCGUCGGAGGAGGAGCCCGCGCCCGAUUAGCUAGUUGGUGAGGUAACGGCUCACCAAGGCAAUGAUCGGUAGCUGGUCUGAGAGGAUGGCCAGCCACACUGGAACUGAGACACGGUCCAGACUCCUACGGGAGGCAGCAGUGGGGAAUCUUGCACAAUGGGCGAAAGCCUGAUGCAGCGACGCCGCGUGGGGGAUGAAGCUUUUCGGAGUGUAAACCCCUUUCGACUGGGACGAAUGCCUCGCAAGAGGAGUGACGGUACCAGUAUAAGAAGCCCCGGCUAACUACGUGCCAGCAGCCGCGGUAAGACGUAGGGGGCCAGCGUUGUUCGGAAUUACUGGGUGUAAAGGGUUCGUAGGCGGUGUGGCAAGUCGGGAGUGAAAUCUCUGGGCUCAACCCAGAGACUGCUUCCGAAACUGCUGUGCUUGAGUGUGAGAGAGGCUCGUGGAAUUGCAGGUGUAGCGGUGAAAUGCGUAGAUAUCUGCAGGAACACCCGUGGCGAAAGCGGCGCGCUGGAUCACUACUGACGCUGAGGAACGAAAG
Molecule: ribosomal RNA, 755 nt
Filed under: uncultured bacterium
Lineage: Bacteria
Description: bacterial SSU rRNA
Rfam family: Bacterial small subunit ribosomal RNA
Source: RNAcentral